CAAUAUGAUAUUCUCCCCUAGGGAAUAAAUAGAGACACAGAGGAGGAAGCAGGAAAAGAGUCAAUCAUAUAAGAACCAGUGGGAAACAUUUUAUGAGGGACUGGAGAGAAACAGAGAAAGAUUAUACUGGAAAUUGUUG
This 139-nucleotide long non-coding RNA is filed under the name Callithrix jacchus (white-tufted-ear marmoset). Its description in RNAcentral is "lncRNA (ENSCJAG00000069936.1)". The record is from RNAcentral. Lineage: Eukaryota; Metazoa; Chordata; Mammalia; Primates; Cebidae.